This 270-nucleotide long non-coding RNA is filed under the name Nicotiana benthamiana. RNAcentral describes it as "long non-coding RNA (NBEN_LNC019122)". The record is from RNAcentral. Lineage: Eukaryota; Viridiplantae; Streptophyta; Magnoliopsida; Solanales; Solanaceae.
GCACCCUAAAAUCUACUGCCCCGUUCCCAAAAAUCCCAGAAACGGAUAUCAAACCCAAACCAAAAUAGUGAACCGGAAACGAAGCCAACAUAAGAAAAAUCCGACGCACUCGAACUCAACAGCACUCGAACCCAAUUUCAGUGACUCGAACCACGACCAAAAAACUACUCGUUGGCUGAAGCUCAGGUCAUGGGUGAGAGGGGUUAAGGUUUUCACUGGUUUUGUAGACGGCAGCAGAAGAUGACUGCUUGGGGAUCUGUAUUUUUUUUU